RNAcentral lists this ribosomal RNA (465 nucleotides) under uncultured bacterium. RNAcentral's name for it is "partial 16S ribosomal RNA". It matches the Rfam family "Bacterial small subunit ribosomal RNA", at positions 28 to 507 of the family's 1533-position model. The record is from RNAcentral.
GAUGAACGCUGGCGGCGUGCUUAACACAUGCAAGUCGAACGAUGAAGCCCAGCUUGCUGGGUGGAUUAGUGGCGAACGGGUGAGUAACACGUGAGUAACCUGCCCUUGACUCUGGGAUAAGCCUGGGAAACUGGGUCUAUAAUGGAUAUUACUUCCUCUUGCAUGGUGGGGGGGGGUAAGAUUUUUUGGUCUUGGAUGGACUCGCGGCCUAUCAGCCUGUUGGUGAGGUAAUGGCUCACCAAGGCGACGACGGGUAGCCGGCCUGAGAGGGUGACCGGCCACACUGGGACUGAGACACGGCCCAGACUCCUACGGGAGGCAGCAGUGGGGAAUAUUGCACAAUGGGCGCAAGCCUGAUGCAGCGACGCCGCGUGAGGGAUGACGGCCUUCGGGUUGUAAACCUCUUUCAGUAGGGAAGAAGCGAGAGUGACGGUACCUGCAGAAGAAGCGCCGGCUAACUACGUG